Molecule: small nuclear RNA, 18 nt
Filed under: Arabidopsis thaliana (thale cress)
Lineage: Eukaryota; Viridiplantae; Streptophyta; Magnoliopsida; Brassicales; Brassicaceae
Description: snRNA_15054
Source: RNAcentral
UUGGAUUGUUCACCCACC